This 76-nucleotide transfer RNA is filed under the name Caldifarciminota bacterium. Its description in RNAcentral is "candidate division WOR-3 bacterium (sediment metagenome) tRNA-Asn". It matches the Rfam family "tRNA". Rfam says of the family: Transfer RNA (tRNA) molecules are approximately 80 nucleotides in length. Lineage: Bacteria; Pseudomonadati; Caldifarciminota. The record is from RNAcentral.
UCCAGCGUAGCUCAACUGGUAGAGCAUCCGGCUGUUAACCGGAGGGUCACAGGUUCGAGUCCUGUCGCUGGAGCCA